AAGUCGUAACAAGGUAACCGUAGGUGAACCUGCGGUUGGAUCAUUAGUGAUUAUAUUAUAUAUAUUAUAUAUAAACACCAAAUCCUUUUUCUGAUUGCUAGUUGAUUAAUCAAUCAAUCAUAGGAGAAGGGAAUUAAUGAGAACACUUGAAAAUAAGAAUAUUUUAUUGUGAUUUGUUUCUAAUUAACCGAUGAAGGUUGGUUAUUAGGGACAGUCACCAAAUGAGAUAUUUAUAAAGAAAACUACCGUAUUUGAUUAUCAUCAUAUAUAAACAUUUUAUCUUGCUUUUCUUUAGUAGGGGUGAGAGGGAAGUUAUUAACAAUGACACCCCUUACCCACACAGAGAUGGCCCGGUAAAGAAAAUAUAAUUAAAAGUACAACUUUUGACAAUGGAUCUCUAGGCUCUU
RNAcentral lists this unclassified non-coding RNA (407 nucleotides) under fungal sp. Its description in RNAcentral is "partial internal transcribed spacer region". The stretch from base 1 to 46 matches the Rfam family "Eukaryotic small subunit ribosomal RNA", at positions 1786 to 1831 of the family's 1831-position model. Lineage: Eukaryota; Fungi. The record is from RNAcentral.